Oryzias melastigma (Indian medaka) is the source of this 529-nucleotide long non-coding RNA. RefSeq lists it as uncharacterized. The record is from RefSeq and is a predicted model, not a curated record. NCBI's taxonomy places the organism in Eukaryota, Metazoa, Chordata, Actinopteri, Beloniformes, Adrianichthyidae. The transcript is spliced from 3 exons.
CUGCAGGGAGGAGCUGCAGCAUCAGAUGCUGCCAGGCUGUAUUCUGGCUUAAAAUCCAUAGCUGGAUCACAGGCAGUUUGCCUUUUGUGGCCAGUGUAGCUCCUGUUAGCAUCCUCCUCGGCUGCCAGCCAGGUGCUGCUGCUGGGUGCACUGCUGUGUGUGUGCCGCAAGGUGAAGUGCUUUGUCGCUGUAUCACUGCUGCACUAUUGUAGGGCCACUGUCCUAGGUGGUGCCUUCCAUGGUGGUGCUGUUGAUUCUUGGUGAGCCUCGCUGCAGAAUUUGAUCCUGCGUAGUUCCAUUGUCGGCUGUCUGCCAGCAAGAUUGGAACGACGGAAGCCGGUCAGUCUGCUUGGGUGUUUCACUCCACGCACCUUGCUGACUCCAGGAAUCCUGCACUCCACGGAGUAACUUGCUUCACGCCGGGACGGAGCAUCAGAACUGGUCCACUGCGACAGAGACUCUCUUGCAGCUCAACCAGGGGAUUGAGUGUGACUCACCUUUACAGCGUUUGGAACCUUACUUUUGUACU